This is a long non-coding RNA of Erinaceus europaeus (western European hedgehog), 4364 nucleotides long. RefSeq lists it as uncharacterized. The record is from RefSeq and is a predicted model, not a curated record. The transcript is spliced from 3 exons. Lineage: Eukaryota; Metazoa; Chordata; Mammalia; Eulipotyphla; Erinaceidae.
UUGGCCGCCAUGUUAGGAGUGCCGGAGCGAGUGCGGGAACCCAGCGAGGUUUUAGGGGGCGCGGGAGCCGAGUGGUGGUGUGGUGGGGACGGUGAGGUGAAGUACAAGCCGGUGGGAGACUCUUGGCAGUGAAACUGGAAAUCAGGGGUUGGGGGCGGCUUAAGAGGCCCACUGGGCCUCACCCUCAAGGUCCUGUACGCAGCGCUUAAGCCCUCUGUGGCUCUUUCUCCGGGAUCUGAGGGGUCGCGGGUCUGCUGGGCCGCGAGCGUGGUUUAGAUCCGUCCACGGGACCCGCGGCGCGGCUGGUGUCUUUGUUGGGGCGCGGGAACCGCGCACAGCGGCCCGCAGGCCUUUAGCCGGAGGAUGUCUGCUUCCUUCCACCCGCGAGCCGGGCUAUCCCUCCCAUUUCUUUUAUUUAUUUAUUUGUUUUCGUCUAUUUUCCUUCCUUUCUGACCUCACCGCAGGGAGUUUCGCAUGGGGAUGAUGUGCAGCGGGGUGUAGAGAAAGCGGUGUUGGGAGUUGGCCAGACUGGGAAGCGACCGUGCUCGGACCCUGUAACUGAGAGGCCUUGAAGGAGCGACCCGGCUGCAGAAGGCCCCCUUGACACCUGCCAGUCAGGGCGGGGAGAUGUUAUUGACGGGCGGCUGGGGAUGGGACCCCAAGUAACUCAGCACUGAUUCCUGGGUAGAGCCAGUGUGCGCUCAAAGCUCACACACUGCAGAGACGGGGUGUGCAUUAACUUACACAGUGCAUUUAGUGUGUAAGCUGUGGUUCUCUAUAUAUAAGAACUAGGUCGCAAAAAAAAAAAAAAAAAAAAAACCUGAAACCAAAGUCAUCAAACGUAAAUGUGUUUUUGUUUCCAGUUAUGUUACUAAAACAAAGAAUGUUGUGUGUUCUUUUUUCAGCUUCUACACUGUGGGGAGACGGGAGACUUCUUCCUGAGUGUGUCUGAAGGUUAAAAAUGACAACUUGCGCUUUUUUUCCUCCCUCUCUUUUUACACAUUAUUCUGAAAAGUAAUGAUUGAUUUGUUAUUUGGGGUGAGUAAGGGUAUGUAUGUCACCUCUGUAAGGAAUUAAUAAUAUUGCGGCUGAUAAAAAGAUUUAUUAUAUCAAAAAAAAGGCAGCAGAAUGAUUAAAAGACAUAAAAGCUUGGGUGAACUCUCAGGUGUGUACAAAUGAGAGUUGCUCUUACUGAUCUUGUUUCUGGGAGCAAAUAAAAAAUUUACAGCUUUGGUUUGAUUUUUUUCUUUUUUUUUUUCUUUUAGGACAGCAGCAACAAAUGCUGGAGAGGCUGUGGGGACAGAGUUGUUUUUUUUUUUUUUUUAACAAAGGUCAAUGUGCUGGUCUCGCUUAAAUGUGAAUAUAACAGUAGGAAAUAGGAAAGGCUCCUAGAACUAUUACUCUUAUUUUCUUUGUGAACGUUGCUCUUCAUCUCAUUCUUGGAACAUGUUUGUCAUUUGUUACAGUUCUGGACUGCUUGUAUGGAAGACUCGAAAUUAAGUGGAAUACAGAGAAACACCCAGAUUUGAAGAACAAAUAAAAGGGAGGGAGAAGAAUAGGGACUAGAUAGUUCCUUUUAAGAAGUUUGACUCAGAUUGGAGAGAAAGCUUAUUGAAGUGCAUACAGUAGUUCAUAGAUAACUGAAAAGUGACCCCUUUGAUAACAUUGGUAGGGAUAUGCUGUUAAAGUAUUUAGUGAAGGCUGGGAGAUAGCCCACCUGAUAGAGCAAACACUUUACUUAGCAUGCACAAGAACCCACAUCCAAGGUGACACUAUAGAAGCUCCAUGUGUGCAUGAGCUGGGGUAACAGCAUAAUGGUUACGCAGAAAGACGUGCAUGCCUGAGGCUAUGAGGUCCCACAUUGAGUCCCUAGUACCACCAUAAGCCUGAACUGAGCAGUGCUCUAAUAAGUAAAUAGUGCUGGGGCUCAUUGCUGGCACACCCGAUUGAACACACAUUACCAUGCAGAAGGACCCAGGUUUAAGCCCCUGUCCCAAACUUCAGGAAGAAAGCUUUGCAAGUGGUGAAGCUAUGCUGUUGGGUGUCUGUCUUUCCCUUCCCUCUCAACUACUCUGUCCUGUCAAAUUAAAUAAAUAUAUAAAGAAGCACCACGCAGAAGGAUAAGCUUCACAGGUAGUGACACAGUCUCUCACCCUAUUCCUGUGACUAGAAAAAAAAAAAAGGGCCACAAGGAAUGGUGGAAUCAUGCAGAUGUAAAGGCCUGGUGACAAAAUUGUGCACAAGCUGAAGAAUUACACAAAAUAGAACUAAGGUGUCUGUCACAGUGUGCUUUGUUUAAUGUGUGCAUUUUGUGUGUCAGACCUUUCAUGCCUGUUUUAGUCCUUUGCUCACUGCUGGCACGACAUACCACAGCACCUCGAGUAUAGAACCAUAAUCCUAUGUGUGGUAAAGUGUACACCUGGUUGCCAAGUAAGAAUUUUAUAAUUGUAUGAAAGUGGACACAUUCCUCUCUGACUUAGUGUCAAGUCCCCUGGAUCCCCAUAAAAAAUUUAAAUUUGAGAAAAAUCUUUUAUAAUAUACUGUGAUGGAUAAUUUCAUUUAAGAUUCUACUCCCACAUGACCAUGGGAAGUUGAUUCAGUCCAAGAGUCAACCACCUUAGAGCAACACUACCAUGCUUGAGUUGGAAUGGUGUUUAUAAUUUCAGAAGGAUUGAUAUCUGAAAAAUACUCUUAUUUUCCCAGUGAUGAGGCUAACACUUUUCAGGUAGUUCCCUGGUGUUUAGGCUAUGUGAGUUUGUCUUGAUCACUAGCUGACAUUUUCACUAAGCCAAGAAAGUGCUUGGCACAUGCAGCUUAAAUUAUAUUUACCUCCAAUCUGUGCACUUGGAUUUACGUGGACACUGCUCAGACAUUCUAGCGUCAACUUACCAACCUCCAGUUGUGGAGAUUAAAAAUGCUUCUGUGAAUGAGGAAACAGCAUAAUAGUUAUACAAACAACUCUCAUGCCUGAGACUGAAAUCCAAGGCACCACUAUACCAGAACUAAACAGUGCUCUGGUUUAAAAAAAGGAAGAGUGCAUCCUCUGGAUGGUUACAAGUCUCAACGGAAAACUCUAAGCAUUUAUUCGACUACCAUUUUCAACCUGGAGUAUAAAUCUUGUCCAUUUUAAGAUUAAGUUAUUAAGUCUGCUCAAGGUCAUUAACAAGCAGAGGAAUUGAGAAAGUACGGCCUGGUUUGUUCCAUAUUUAAAGUCUACACAUAAACGUCUUUUAGGCGGAAGAGGCAAAAAAAAAAAAGGUGUUCAAGACCCAAAUGCCUCCCACAACUAACACUGCAGAUGUGGUCUUUUUUCCCACAUGUCCCAAUGGGAUACAACAAAUCAGUCUGGAAACAAUUCCAACACUAAAGCACAUCUUUAAAACUUACUGAGAAUACAUAAUUUAAGAAAAUUAAAUAUAGAUGAGCUAUCAUUUCUACUGCAGCCAUUUUCUCUGCUUGACCUCAAUGUACUUGACAGUUUUUCACCAGCAUGAUCUUUGGGGUUUGGUGCCAGCACUACAAAUCCAUCGCUCUUGGCAGCCAUUUUUCCCUUUUUAUUUUCUUCUUUCUGUUUUAUUUGAGAGGACAGAGAGAUGUUGGGAGGAAAGUGGGAGAUAGGGAAAGAGAAUGACCACUCCUGAAGUGUCUGUAGGUGGGGAGCAGGGGCUCAAAUCGGGUCUUGUGUGAUGUGUGUACAUUCUGGCAUACAUCUGGCUCAGUCAGUCUUGUAGUCUAACCUCCAAGAAAAAGGUCAGUUUCCAGUUAAGAGCUAAAAUAAUUUUUUGAGUGUUUUCACAUAACUUGUUUUUUUGUUUGGUUUUUAGAUUUUGCUUUAUUUCAAAUAGAGACAGAAAUUGAGAGGGGAGAGAGAGAGACCACUGCACACUUUGACCACUCAGAAAGCUUCUCACUGGAGGGAGAACCAGCCUGGGGCAGCACACUAGCCUACCAGAAAGCUUCUCUCCUGCAGGCUGGGGCUAGGGGUAUAAUCUCGGGCCCUUGCACUGUAAUGUGUGGCACAACCAGAUGUGCCAUAGCCCACCUCUCAUAACUUGUUUAUAAAGGACAGUAAAGAAAAAGAAAGGAGUCGGGCUGUAGCACAGCGGGUUAAGCGCAGGUGGCGCAAAGCACAAGGACCGGCAUAAGGAUCCCGGUUCGAGCCCCGGCUCCCCACCUGUAGGGGAGUCACUUCACAGGUGGUGAAGCAGGUCUGCAGGUGUCUGUCUUUCUCUCCUCCUCUCUGUCUUCCCCUCCUCUCUCCAUUUCUCUCUGUCCUAUCCAACAAUGAUGACAACAACAAUAAUAAUAACUAUAACAAUAAAACAACAAGGGCAACAAAAGGGAAUAAAUAAAAAAAAAGAAAG